UUUCAUCAACGAAUCAAACCGAAGCACCUCUGCGAUUUCAGAAAUAGAAUCAAUCGAGCGAUGAAGAUCGAUCACAGAGUGAUGAAAAUCCCGCCGGCGAUUAAGAUUACGAUGAUUAAUCAGAGCAGAGUCGUGUGAUUGAAUCUGGGUUUUGAUCGCUUCAAAUCGUUUUUACAAAUCCUUCAGAGGCGUGUAAUUGAAUCUGGGGGCCGAGAUCGCUUCAAAUCGUUUUCACAAACUCUUCUGAUUACGCACAAAAUUUUGUAGGCAAGAUACUUUUUCCAGUAGCUUAUAUCAGGAGUCAGCUAUUGCCACCUAUGAAAAUUUGCCACAGAGAUCUGAAGCUUGAAAAUUCCCUCUUGGAUGGUUCUUCCAAGUCCUCACUGUUGCACUCUAGGCCCAAAUCAACUGUUGGAACUCCUGCAUAUAUAUAUUGCACCUGAGGUUCUUUCUCGCAGAGAGUAUGAUGGCAAGAGUUGCAGGAAAACAUCAUAAAGCUUUCUGAUCAGCCUAUCGCAGCAGAGAAGAUAAAAGAGAGUUGUUCAAAAAGAGCUUGAUAGACUAAGGAGCUGCAAAGAAUUUGAAGGUGACUUAGUACAGUCAAGAAAAAGGGACGCUUUGAAGAAGAAACUGAGGUUACGGUAUCGCCCUCUCUCAUAAAAAUCAUAGCCAGAAAGCUUCUUACAAUCAAAACAUGAAAAAAAACUAACGCACGAAAACGUAACACAACCAAAACAAAAACUUCAUAAAACACGCACAAAGAAAAUACAAAAAUGCAAAAACGAAUUCCACAACUUCACCGUCACACAAACUCCAAGGUCACACAAACUCCACGUUCACAUAAACUCCACGUUCACAUAAACUCCACGUUCACAUAAACACCACGUUCACAUAAACUCCACAUUCACAUUAACUCCACGUUUCACAUAAGCUUGUUACUUUCCUCUCUGUUUCAAGUGUGGAUGAACAAAACGUUUGUAUUUUAUUUGCUCUAUGUUAUUCUGUUUGUGUGACUUACUAAUAAAGGUCAUUGAUUUCAAGAGAAAUAGAUAAGGUGGACUAGAGAAGAUUAAGCUUUGCUAUUACUAGUAGCUUCCAACAAUGCCUUACUUGUCAAUCUAAUGUGAGUUGAGCAAGCAACCAACUGUCGACAGGGAGAAUUCUGUAACUUUGUUAUCUUAGGUUUCAUGAUCUUUUAAAUAUAUACUUUUUCUGUAGCUUGUAUUAACUUAUUUCUACUUGAAACCAGCUUUUCAAUAAGAAGAGAGGAUAAGUUUCAGAUGUUCAUGAAUGAUAAGUUAAUCAUGCUAAAUCUUAAUCAAUGAAUAUAACUUCGUGUGAGCAUGGCAAUGUAUAAAUUAAGGAGUUGGUAAAGCCUAAAGAGGCUUGUAUAAGUUUCGGACUAACAACAUUUAAUGAUGUCAAUGACAUAUUAGAAGUCUUGUGAAUAUGGGAGGGCUGAGCAUUUUUUCAGUUCUUGAUAAGUUUUUUCCCAGGGAUUUUUCAAAUCAUAAAUCUACGAGGUUAAUGGAUCAUAAAUCUUCACAGUUUAUGGUUAAUGUAGAAUAUUUAAAGUUCUGGAAAAUAGCUUGAUUGGGUAUGUCUCAAGAUCUCUUAGGAAAAGAACAAUGGCUAGUGAGGACUUGCACUGAGGUACAUUUUCUUGUCAAACAUCUUUUUAAGUAAAACUGUGUUGCUACCAUUUUCAGAAGCUUGUUAAUAUCUUUUGUGGCCAAUGUGGCUGAACAUAGGAAUUGUCACUAGCUUUGAUGAAGAAACUGAGGUUAUGGUAUCGCCCUCUCUCAUAAAAAACAUAGCCAAAAAGCUUCUGACAAUCAAAACAAGAAAAACACUAACGCACGAAAACGUUAAACACAACCAAAACAAAAACUUCUUAAAGCACGCACAAAAAAAUACAAAAAUGCAAAAACGAUUUCCACAACUUCACCGUCACACAAACUCCACCGUCACACAAACUCCACGUUCACAUAAACUCCACGUUCACAUAAACUCCACAUUCACAUUAACUCCACGUUCACAUUAACCCACUUCUUCACGUUCACAUAGAGUUUGCUACUUUGAUUCCUCUGCAACACAUUGGAUAUGAUUGUAUUUGGCUCAGUUACACUCCAGUCUCUUGGAAUUCUACCAAGACAACUCAGUUUUAAGACAACUGGUUCAGAAUCGUCAUAUACAUCAGGCGAUCCAAAUAUUAUCUUCUAUUCUCUUCUAUGCCUACAUUUAUUUUGCAGAAUUCAAAAAACUCAAGAGGAAUGAGAGAAGAAAAGAACAAUGGUAGUGAGGACUUGCACCGAGGAAUUGUCACUCACGUUCAUUCGGGGAUGGGAACAGAAUCGUUGUGCCAAUAGUUAUGAUACGCAUAUGCAUCAUGCCAAGGGAAAGAAAUAAUGUAUUCAGGAGCUUAUUCAAGACCACUUCUGCGUCUGGGAAAACAUUUAGUGAAAUCUGUAGCAUUACAAAAAACGUCAAUCAAGUGAGCUCUAAAAGAGAAUUUGGCAGAGUUCGUUUGACGGUGCAUUACCCGAACUUAGAUUUGUUUGUUAGAUACUGCGCUAUCGUGGCCAUAGCAACUUACAACGCUACAAGGCUUGUGAAUAUAGGAAAGCCAAGCAUUUUUUUCGUUAUGUUCUGUUAAGGACUUAAAGAUAUCACUGAAAAAAUUAAAAGUUUCGUGGAUAUGGAAGAUUCAAGCAUUUCCUUGCUAAGGUUUAGGUGAGAAGCAACCUCAUCUCGUCUGAGUGUAGAUCAGCAUCGAAUUUGAAGAUCAUUUGGUGUAGUCGAGAAGAAGUGACUCUUGGAUGACGUAACUGAGUUACGGUAAACUUAACACAAAAACACAAAACACAGCCAAAACUACAAAAAGUAAUAAAGAAAAAGGAAAUACACAAAUUCAAUUAAAAAAAAUGCAGAAAUAAACUCAUCUACUUCACGAUCACAUAAAUUCCACAAUUUCACGAUCACAUACACUCCACAACUUCACGAUCCUCCACAAUUUCACGAUCACAUAAAUUCCACAAUUUCAUGACCACAUAAUUUUCACAACUUCACGAUCACAUAAUCACAUAAACUCCUUUCAUGACCACGUAAACAUGACGACGCCACGAUCACAUAGAGUUUGAUUCCCCUUGUAACAGUUUCAAUUUAGAUUUUUUUGCUUAUGUUUUUUUUAGUAUCGAAGACUUGUAUAAUUGUGACUCUGUUCUUGUUUAGAAAUCUCCAUUCUUGUAAUAUUUUAUUGUUAUCAAUUGUUACCGUGCUAUUUUUCUUCA
Molecule: long non-coding RNA, 3290 nt
Organism: Capsella rubella
Lineage: Eukaryota; Viridiplantae; Streptophyta; Magnoliopsida; Brassicales; Brassicaceae
Exons: 18
Source: RefSeq, a predicted model, not a curated record